This 67-nucleotide transfer RNA is filed under the name Nezara viridula (southern green stink bug). RNAcentral's name for it is "tRNA-Phe". The record is from RNAcentral. Lineage: Eukaryota; Metazoa; Arthropoda; Insecta; Hemiptera; Pentatomidae.
ACUUGAGUAGCUUAGAUUUUAAAGCUUAACUCUGAAGAAGUUAUUAUAAGUACAUACUUCUCAAGUA